Molecule: ribosomal RNA, 253 nt
Filed under: uncultured bacterium
Lineage: Bacteria
Description: partial 16S ribosomal RNA
Rfam family: Bacterial small subunit ribosomal RNA
Source: RNAcentral
GACAGAGGGGGCAAGCGUUGCUCGGAAUUACUGGGCGUAAAGGGCGCGUAGGCGGGAUGGCAAGUCGGUCGUGAAAUCCCUCGGCUCAACCGAGGAACGUCGAUCGAUACUGCUGUUCUUGAGGAUUGCAGAGGAGACUGGAAUUCCCGGUGUAGCGGUGAAAUGUGUAGAGAUCGGGAGGAACACCGGUGGCGAAGGCGGGUCUCUGGUCCGGACCUGACGCUGAGGCGCGAAAGCGUGGGGAGCAAACAGG